Molecule: ribosomal RNA, 293 nt
Filed under: uncultured bacterium
Lineage: Bacteria
Description: partial 16S ribosomal RNA
Rfam family: Bacterial small subunit ribosomal RNA
Source: RNAcentral
CAUAUCCUACGGGGGGCAGCAGUGGGGAAUAUUGCACAAUGGGGGAAACCCUGAUGCAGCGACGCCGCGUGAAGGAUGAAGUAUUUCGGUAUGUAAACUUCUAUCAGCAGGGAAGAAAAUGACGGUACCUGACUAAGAAGCCCCGGCUAACUACGUGCCAGCAGCCGCGGUAAUACGUAGGGGGCGAGCGUUGUCCGGAUUUACUGGGUGUAAAGGGUGCGUAGGCGGGUAAGCAAGUCAGAAGUGAAAUCCAUGGGCUUAACCCAUGAAUUGAUUUUGAAACUGUUUAUUUU